AGGACGAACGCUGGCGGCGUGCUUAACACAUGCAAGUCGAGCGGUAAGGCCUUUCGGGGUACACGAGCGGCGAACGGGUGAGUAACACGUGGGUGAUCUGCCCUGCACUUCGGGAUAAGCCUGGGAAACUGGGUCUAAUACCGGAUAUGACCUCCUAUCGCAUGGUGGGUGGUGGAAAGAUUUAUCGGUGCAGGAUGGGCCCGCGGCCUAUCAGCUUGGUUGGUGGGGUAAUGGCCUACCAAGGCGACGACGGGUAGCCGACCUGAGAGGGUCGACCGGCCACGACUGGGACUGAGACACGGCCCAGACUCCUACGGGAGGCAGGCAGGUGGGGAAUAGU
Molecule: ribosomal RNA, 340 nt
Filed under: uncultured soil bacterium
Lineage: Bacteria
Description: bacterial SSU rRNA
Rfam family: Bacterial small subunit ribosomal RNA
Source: RNAcentral